AAUUUUCUGUUUCAGCACAUAAAUGUAUCAAUAUCUGGGCAUAAAAAACUCUUCAAUCUCAACAUUUCUCAUCAUGGUGUGCAAAAAAGAAAUAUGGCUUUCCGGUUUUCUGAGAAUUGGUAACAUGAAUGAUUAAGCAGCUAAAUGUGGAUCAAGAGUUUUCAUUGACAAUAAUUUGGAACACCAUCAUACAUGUUGCAAAUAACACAAUAG
Molecule: unclassified non-coding RNA, 213 nt
Filed under: Hevea brasiliensis (rubber tree)
Lineage: Eukaryota; Viridiplantae; Streptophyta; Magnoliopsida; Malpighiales; Euphorbiaceae
Source: RNAcentral